AAGAAUUUAAGUUAAAAAAACUAUUGACCUUCAAAGUCAAAAAUAGGGCUAUUCCACUAAUUUUUA
This 66-nucleotide transfer RNA is filed under the name Bradybatus kellneri. Its description in RNAcentral is "tRNA-Trp". The record is from RNAcentral. Lineage: Eukaryota; Metazoa; Arthropoda; Insecta; Coleoptera; Curculionidae.